UAUAAAUCUAUACAAAAAUUACUAUUUCGAUUGGUGGCUUUCCUCACGUGUAUGAGGUGAAUCCAUCAAUACAUGGUACUCGAACUAUAUUUGGUAGUGAAUCCAUGUACUCAUCCGAGGUUGGUGGUUGUCUCAAACCUCUGACACGUAGAGCUUACGGUCGAGAUCGAGUUCCUCACAUUAAGAUCUAUCUAUCUUUUUCGAGGGAAAUCUCAUUCCAGUCACACGACGUUAUCCAUCUCCCAAAACAUACUGGCAACUUUUCAUACUUCAUGCACCGGAUUGAUGUGUGCUUAGAAUCCACGUUAUCUCGCUCGCCACAAUUGCUCCCAACUUCAGUACGAUUCAUUUCCCCUAUAAAUCUCCUCCGGUUUCUGUGAUCACCGUGCCGCGCCACAGUUUACCGGAUCGAUGAAGCCCGGAAGUCUCCUCUCCCCCCUUCUCCUCGUCCUCUUGUUUCAAGCUUGUCGGUCUGCGUCCAACCAAACCACACUCGGUGGAGCAGACGAGGCUCGCCGACUGCCUCGACUCGACCAGAGCCAGCCGGCUCCAGGUGGCCUCAAUGCGACCGUCGUCUCGAGGGCGGGGAAUGGGGAGUUGGACGCCAUGAGGAGCACGACCCACUCGAAGGGUGGCGGCAGCGGUGGCGGCAGCGGUAGCGGUAGCGGCGCGGGAAAAGGAGGAGGGAAGGGCGUCGGGAGCGGGAAGGGCGAGGGCGGCGGGUCGCAGUCGGUCCGUCAGCCGCGCGACCCGCGAAGCAGCGGGGCGUCCAGGCGGCGGCCGUGCUCGUCUCUCGCGCGGCUCCUCCUCCGUCUGCACCUGCUCUGCCUCCUGCUUUGGUGGUGGUGGCGGUGGUGAAGAAGAAGAAGAAGGCGGAGGAUAGUGAUGAGUUGGUGAUGGUCGAUGCCAUCAAAGAACAACUGGCUGAUGUUUUUUGCUAUCGUUUCCUGACGGCUCGUCCGUCCGUCAUGACAAACAGAAAAUGGACAGAUUCGUGUU
Molecule: long non-coding RNA, 999 nt
Organism: Musa acuminata AAA Group (dessert banana)
Lineage: Eukaryota; Viridiplantae; Streptophyta; Magnoliopsida; Zingiberales; Musaceae
Exons: 2
Source: RefSeq, a predicted model, not a curated record